Molecule: transfer RNA, 73 nt
Filed under: Alosa alosa (allis shad)
Lineage: Eukaryota; Metazoa; Chordata; Actinopteri; Clupeiformes; Clupeidae
Description: tRNA-OTHER
Rfam family: tRNA
About the family: Transfer RNA (tRNA) molecules are approximately 80 nucleotides in length.
Source: RNAcentral
AGUAGUGUGGCCGAGCGGUCUAAGGCGCUGAAUUUAAGCUUUGGGGGCGUGGGUUCGAAUCCCACCCCUGCCA